Molecule: small nuclear RNA, 111 nt
Organism: Sarcophilus harrisii (Tasmanian devil)
Lineage: Eukaryota; Metazoa; Chordata; Mammalia; Dasyuromorphia; Dasyuridae
Source: Ensembl
GUGUUUGCUUUAGCAGCACAUACAUUAAAAUUGGAACAAUACAGAGAAGAUUAAUUAGCCUGUUCCCUACACAAGGAUAUCACGAAAAUUCAUGAAGAAUCAAGUAAAAAC